Molecule: long non-coding RNA, 737 nt
Filed under: Monodelphis domestica (gray short-tailed opossum)
Lineage: Eukaryota; Metazoa; Chordata; Mammalia; Didelphimorphia; Didelphidae
Description: lncRNA (ENSMODG00000031634.2)
Source: RNAcentral
ACACAAUUCCCUGGUAGCUGUCCUGAGUACUCUGUUGUAGAUGGUGACCAUGGUAAACAGAAACACUAUCUGGCAUUCUCCUGGUGGGUGUGCAUUAUGAAACCACCAUUCUGUCAGUAGGGGGUGGGAAUACUGCUUCUGCUCGUUACUAUGGUGAUCUAGGGAGUCAUGAAAACAGUGUUUUCUGAAGUCAUACCUGCAUGUGAAUAUAUCAAUAUAGAAAUAUGAAAAAGAGAGAGAGAUGCUACUUAAUGCAAGCCAAUAUCAAUCGUGAUAGUGAGACAGUGUGUUAUCAUGAAGAAGGGGUGCAGUCAGAAAGAUGUGGGUUCAAAUCCCAUCUUUGACACAAACUGUAUGAUUAUAGACAAGUAACAACCUCUCUGAUCCUGUUUCCUUAUGUAUCAAGGGAUGAAUCGUCACUCAAAAAGGCUCGAAUGGGCAAUUUCUCUCUUCCCUUGUGGCCAAUAAGGCAAGAACUGCUGGAGGACUCUGGAUGGGGAGGAAGGAAGGAGGAAUGUGGUGGUAAUCACAGGCAACAGCCCAAAGGUCCAGCAUGAGGAAGUCGGCUACAUAGGGAACACAGUGAAAGAAAGCCAUUUUUUGGAACAGUGUAUCCUUUUCAACCCAAAUUACCUAAAGCAAAGAGAAAAUAGGAAGGCUUAAAAGAAGGGGGAGGCAUGAUCUGCUUGCAAGGAUAUCUAAAUAAAACCAGGUUCAAGUGGAAAUUGGCUUGUAAC